UUUCCCAUUGUAUUUGGCAUAAUUAGGGAGAAGAAGUAUGGCCAAAAUCAUAAUAUCCCUUUUUAUCUUUGUUAUCCUCUUCACCUCCGCCUUUCCUGUGAACGGAGGCAAGUGGACUUGAUGAUUCUAAAGUAAGCAGACGAUUCAAGGGAACGUGCAGGAAGGGGCCGGGGAUUGACAACAUCAGGUGUAUGGCUUUUUGCAUAUUGGAGGGCGCACCGAGAGGGGAAUGCAUCAAUAGGAAGUGUCGCUGCUUCUACCAGCCAUCUGAAGAGCCUAAAGAGCCUCAAAAGCCCGGCCAAGAGGCCGAGGAAUAUUCAAGGCUGGUAGCCAGAGAGAUAUACAAUGAGAUUUUAAGAGAAAAAAAAGAAUAAUAGCUAAAGUAGAUGUUGAACGUAUAUGCACACUGGGCUCAAACCUCAUUUUAAUAAAUGUAAGGUAUUGAAAUAUAUAAAAGAAAUAGAAUUUAAACUCAA
Molecule: long non-coding RNA, 476 nt
Organism: Alnus glutinosa
Lineage: Eukaryota; Viridiplantae; Streptophyta; Magnoliopsida; Fagales; Betulaceae
Exons: 2
Source: RefSeq, a predicted model, not a curated record